This 655-nucleotide long non-coding RNA is filed under the name Olea europaea (common olive). RNAcentral's name for it is "long non-coding RNA (OEUR_LNC001032)". The record is from RNAcentral. Lineage: Eukaryota; Viridiplantae; Streptophyta; Magnoliopsida; Lamiales; Oleaceae.
CAUGUCAAAUAAGAAAACAAAAAAAUCAGCAUAUUAAGCUUCACUGCCGCAAACUCGUCAAAUCGCACCAGAUACCAAAGUCGUUUCACCCAAAAAAUCUCCCUUCCCAACUUAAGGAUAUAAUUUGAUAUUUUAUCACAGAAAUAAUACAAAUAAGUUAGCUUCACAACCGUCCCUAAAAAUAUUUAAAAAAUGUAAAAAAUCGUACAUGUGUAGUGAAAGUAAGAAUAUGUGUAUAUAUCAAUAUACCUUGCAGGAAGGAGCUUUGUAUUGGACAAAUUUAGAAUCUGAGUCAUCGUUCUCGAGUCCGUCGAGCGACUCCUCUCGAUCGAAGAAACAAUAAUCUUCUUCACUCCCACUCAUAUAAUCCUCCAUCAUCAAUUAUUAAUUCUAUCUAUACGUAUAUAUAAUCAAUCAAGGAGUAAAUAAAUUAAUUCUGCUUUUAUUUCGACGACUGUGAUCGGCUUUUUCGUGAUUGUGACGGUGAGAUCGAGGGGGCUAUUCCGGCAAAUUACGCCGUCAAUAGGAGUAGAUAAUAUUGAGAGGGAGGGGGAUCGUACUUGUUAAAGAGAAAAUGGGCUUUUCAUUUCAUAGGCUUUGUGCUUUUGCCCUUGUGGUGCCGAGAGAAGCUUUUCAGUGUGUGAAGGUGGAAAAU